GAUUUUUGUCAGACAUAUUUAAUUAUGCACUAAAAAGGAGGUGUCGCCCCAAAAUGUUUACAAUAAAUUAAUUGAAAAUCAAUUAGCGGGCCCAGAGAGCGGCAGUUCUGAGACUGCCACUGCCGCUGAAUUAUUGUCAACUCUCGAGUCGCAAAUGGCAAAAAUUAUUAUUGAGUGCUCCAAAUUAUGGGGCGCAGCAGCAGGAUCGCCAAAACAACUUUGGCAUUUGGCUGUGGCUGUGGCUGUGGCUUUUGGCUGCAGGUGAAAUAAUCGCAGAAAUAUUCGAGCAGAAAUCUACGACUGUGGCAAACAAAUUAAAGUGCAUUGCCGUGUAUGUGGCCAUAAAGUUGUAUAUUAUUUGCAUGCAGGCCAAAA
This 375-nucleotide long non-coding RNA is filed under the name Drosophila guanche. The record is from RNAcentral. Lineage: Eukaryota; Metazoa; Arthropoda; Insecta; Diptera; Drosophilidae.